Molecule: transfer RNA, 84 nt
Filed under: Porphyromonas bennonis
Lineage: Bacteria; Pseudomonadati; Bacteroidota; Bacteroidia; Bacteroidales; Porphyromonadaceae
Also listed under: 6 other names
Rfam family: tRNA
About the family: Transfer RNA (tRNA) molecules are approximately 80 nucleotides in length.
Source: RNAcentral
GCGCAGGUGGCGGAAUUGGUAGACGCGCUACUUUGAGGGGGUAGUCCACGUAUGUGGGUGAGAGUUCGACUCUCUUCCUGCGCA